UACAGAGGGUGCAAGCGUUAAUCGGAAUUACUGGGCGUAAAGCGUGCGUAGUCGGCUUUUUAAGUCGGGUGUGAAAUCCCCGGGCUCAACCUGGGAAUUGCAUUCGAUACUGGAUAGCUAGAGUUCGGCAGAGGGAAGUGGAAUUUCUGGUGUAGCGGUGAAAUGCGCAGAUAUCAGGAGGAACACCGGUGGCGAAGGCGGGUCUCUGGGCCGAUACUGACGCUGAGGAGCGAAAGCGUGGGGAGCGAACAGG
Molecule: ribosomal RNA, 253 nt
Filed under: uncultured bacterium
Lineage: Bacteria
Description: partial 16S ribosomal RNA
Rfam family: Bacterial small subunit ribosomal RNA
Source: RNAcentral